This 524-nucleotide ribosomal RNA is filed under the name uncultured bacterium. Its description in RNAcentral is "bacterial SSU rRNA". It matches the Rfam family "Bacterial small subunit ribosomal RNA", at positions 772 to 1290 of the family's 1533-position model. The record is from RNAcentral.
ACUGAAUAGAUACCCGGGUAGUCCACGCCGUAAACUAUGAGUGCUAGACGUCGGGAAGCUUGCUUUUCGGUGUCGCAGCUAAACGCAUUAAGCACUCCGCCUGGGGAGUACGGCCGCAAGGUUAAAACUCAAAGGAAUUGACGGGGGCCCGGCACAAGCGGUGGAGCAUGUGGUUUAAAUUCGAUGCAACGCGAAGAACCUUACCAGCCCUUGACAUACUAGGUUUCGACUCCGAGAGAUUGGAGUUUUCAGUUCGGCUGGGCCUAGUACAGGUGCUGCAUGGCUGUCGUCAGCUCGUGUCGUGAGAUGUUGGGUUAAAGUCCCGCAACGAGCGCAACCCUCAUCUUCAGUUGCCAUCAGGUUAUGCUGGGCACUCUGAAGAAACUGCCGGUGACAAGCCGGAGGAAGGUGGGGAUGACGUCAAGUCCUCAUGGCCCUUACGGGCUGGGCUACACACGUGCUACAAUGGCGGUGACAGUGGAUGCGAUGGCGCAAGCCGGAGCGAAUCUCCAAAAGCCGUCUCA